RNAcentral lists this ribosomal RNA (429 nucleotides) under bacterium. RNAcentral's name for it is "partial 16S ribosomal RNA". It matches the Rfam family "Bacterial small subunit ribosomal RNA", at positions 355 to 776 of the family's 1533-position model. The record is from RNAcentral.
UAGGGAAUCUUCCACAAUGGACGCAAGUCUGAUGGAGCAACGCCGCGUGAGUGAAGAAGGUUUUCGGAUCGUAAAGCACUGUUGUUGGUGAAGAAGGAUAGAGGCAGUAACUGGUCUUUAUUUGACGGUAAUCAACCAGAAAGUCACGGCUAACUACGUGCCAGCAGCCGCGGUAAUACGUAGGUGGCAAGCGUUGUCCGGAUUUAUUGGGCGUAAAGCGAGCGCAGGCGGAAUGAUAAGUCUGAUGUGAAAGCCCACGGCUCAACCGGGGAACUGCAUCGGAAACUGUCAUUCUUGAGUGCAGAAGAGGAGAGUGGAAUUCCAUGUGUAGCGGUGGAAUGCGUAGAUAUAUGGAAGAACACCAGUGGCGAAGGCGGCUCUCUGGUCUGCAACUGACGCUGAGGCUCGAAAGCAUGGGUAGCGAACAGG